Long non-coding RNA from Mobula hypostoma (lesser devil ray), 1111 nucleotides. RefSeq lists it as uncharacterized. Lineage: Eukaryota; Metazoa; Chordata; Chondrichthyes; Myliobatiformes; Myliobatidae. The transcript is spliced from 4 exons. The record is from RefSeq and is a predicted model, not a curated record.
UCUCCCUGGGAAGGGGUGGGGGUGGGGGUAGAGCUAUUGCUUACUUCAAAGAAGGUCUUGCAUAUCCAUGUCCCCAAAUUGUCCCUUCUCCUUAAUGCAACGAAACAACCACAUGGUAACUCAAUGGGUACGAUGCUGAUCUUUAGUUGAAUAGGUUUACAUCGAUCAAGUGACAGCUAAAAUAAUACGAAGACACACCCACUUAGCGCGAGCAUAUUUACAUUAACUGUUUGUCUACGGGACGCUCCUGGACGUCAAUCAUUAUUUUCUGUCAAUCAAGUGAUGUCUCAUCCAGUUACACUUUGAGCAGGCCAGAGAGCGAGAAAAUAGAGCGAAAUCUUUAAGGUUGACACUUGAAGCUCAUCAAACAACCUACUGGAGGAACUCAGCAGGUCGGGAAGCAUCUGUAGGGGUGAAGGACUUGCCAACGUUUUGCAUCACGACUGAGAACGAAGAGGUGUGACAGCUGGUAUAAAGCAUAGGUUAUCUCACUCUGUGACCUGCACUUCCUGGAACCAGUUUGAAGUCCUGGCUCAAGAGGAAAGAUGUGUUUCCAGAGGUAUCACCAGGGGUUGAAAGAAACUGUAUCUCCAGAAGGAUGCGGCCCUGAUGAAAAUUAUCAACCACCGUUCCGCUUCUGAGUCCAAAUCACAGCUUUCACAGACACAUGAAUACAUUGUGUUUCCAAUGCUACAUGGGGAACAAUGCUAGUUUUAUCUGUUUUGGUGAAACUCAGUUUAAAAAAUAUACAACGCUACAGACCAUUUUCUGGAAUGUGAGUUGCUAAGUAGACGAUGCAAGGAUUGCUUCAGGAAAUGAAGUACCUUGUUGCUGAGUGUGUUUAAAUAAGAUCAUUACUGUACAAGUAAUAAGAAAUGAGGGAAGUUUUUUUUGUGCAGUGGUUGAAAGCACUCCGUGUUAAGAUUAAACAAUUUAGCCUACUAAUGUGUGGUCAUUACUGUUUAGCAAUUCUGUAAACUCAAACCCACAUUUUAUCAAGGCAGAAAAAUGCCCAUACAUUUUGUAUUGUAGCUUUAAAAUCUCUUAAGACAGCCUUGCACUGCACAGGACACUCUAAAAUUAUAAUGUCCACAUUUUUCUUACUUGUACA